RNAcentral lists this unclassified non-coding RNA (342 nucleotides) under soil metagenome. Its description in RNAcentral is "partial contains 5.8S ribosomal RNA, internal transcribed spacer 2, and large subunit ribosomal RNA". The stretch from base 1 to 119 matches the Rfam family "5.8S ribosomal RNA", at positions 35 to 154 of the family's 154-position model. The record is from RNAcentral.
GAUGAAGAACGUAGCGAAAUGCGAUAAGUAAUGUGAAUUGCAGAAUUCAGUGAAUCAUCGAAUCUUGAACGCACAUUGCGCCCGCUAGUAUUCUGGCGGGCAUGCCUGUCCGAGCGUCAUUUCAACCCUCAAGCCCCCGGGCUUGGUGUUGGGGAUCGGCGAGCCUCCGCGCCCGCCGUCCCCUAAAUCUAGUGGCGGUCUCGCUGUAGCUUCCUCUGCGUAGUAGCACACCUCGCACUGGGAAACAGCGCGGCCACGCCGUUAAACCCCCAACUUCUGAACGUUUGACCUCGGAUCAGGUAGGAAUACCCGCUGAACUUAAGCAUAUCAAUAAGCGGAGGA